RNAcentral lists this ribosomal RNA (66 nucleotides) under Coprinopsis strossmayeri. Its description in RNAcentral is "partial 26S rRNA". The stretch from base 10 to 66 matches the Rfam family "Eukaryotic large subunit ribosomal RNA", at positions 1 to 57 of the family's 3401-position model. The record is from RNAcentral. Lineage: Eukaryota; Fungi; Basidiomycota; Agaricomycetes; Agaricales; Psathyrellaceae.
UGACAAUUUUGACCCAAAAUCAGGUAAGACUACCCGCUGAACUUAAGCAUAUCAAUAAGCGGAGGA